GAAGCCUGCUUCGAGAUGAGGACUCCCACCUCCUAGAGAGGGUAAGGCUCCCAGUAGACGACUGGGUUGAUAGGCCGGAUAUGGAAGCACGGUAACGUGUGGAGUUGACCGGUACUAAUAGGCCGAGGGCUUGUCCUC
Molecule: ribosomal RNA, 138 nt
Organism: Streptomyces afghaniensis 772
Lineage: Bacteria; Bacillati; Actinomycetota; Actinomycetes; Kitasatosporales; Streptomycetaceae
Rfam family: Bacterial large subunit ribosomal RNA
Source: Rfam